GACAGAGGCCACGAACGUUGUUCGGAAUCACUGGGCAUAAAGCGCACGUAGGCGGCUAGGUCCGUCCAAUGUGAAAGCCCCCGGCUCAACCGGGGAAUUGCAUCGGAUACAGCCUGGCUUGAGGACGGUUGGGGUGAGUGGAACUCCUGGUGGAGCGGUGAAAUGCGUAGAUAUCAGGAGGAACACCGGUGGCGAAAGCGGCUCACUGGACCGUUUCUGACGCUGAGGUGCGAAAGCUAGGGGAGCAAACGGG
Molecule: ribosomal RNA, 253 nt
Filed under: uncultured bacterium
Lineage: Bacteria
Description: partial 16S ribosomal RNA
Rfam family: Bacterial small subunit ribosomal RNA
Source: RNAcentral